This 63-nucleotide transfer RNA is filed under the name Phrixothrix hirtus. RNAcentral describes it as "tRNA-Leu". The record is from RNAcentral. Lineage: Eukaryota; Metazoa; Arthropoda; Insecta; Coleoptera; Phengodidae.
AAUUCCAUGUAAAUAAUUCCAAAAAAGGAUUUUAAAUCAACCCCAUUAUUCGGUCAAAGUACC